ACGAGUGUCCCAGCAGGAGAGGAGGGACUGUAGUGACAGGAACACAACUUGGACACGCCACUGGGAACAACAUCUGUUCAGCCCAUUUUAUGACCAAACAGUGGAAAUGAUCUUCACUGGCAGGGACACUGAUCAGGGAGAACAUACUGAAUGAUUCAAGAGCUGGACAGGAGGACCUGAAUUGUGCAAGCAUCUCCCUGCAUCAGACAUGAGUCUACAGAGAGAGAGAGAGAGACAACACAUGAUUGGAUCACACCAUGCUACGAAAGUCCUCCAGCCAAUCACAAACCUGCAAUUCGGUCUACACAUGGCAUGAGUAGGGGUGGACUGUGCGGGGGUGGAGGUGGAUGUGGAGGCCUAAAUGCCGGGCGUCGACCCACUGACGGAAUUAUUUCCAGCCCUUUCUACUUGCCCAUGUUCUUUCUUUCUUUCUUUCUCUCUCUCUCUCUCUCUCUCUCUCUCUCUCUCUCUCUCUCUCUCUCCUUUCUAAAGAUUGUCACCCUCCGUUGAUCAUACUGUAGGAGAUAAAUGUUUCUGACCUGUGUUGCCAAAGUUGGAGAAAGAAAUGAUCAUUUAUUCAGUCUUUUUCCAAUCUAAAUAAGAACUGAAUCCCGUCUAUGCAAGAGGCUCUUUGACAGUUACAAACUGCUGUACGAUAAGUGCAAGAAAA
Molecule: long non-coding RNA, 670 nt
Organism: Seriola dumerili (greater amberjack)
Lineage: Eukaryota; Metazoa; Chordata; Actinopteri; Carangiformes; Carangidae
Exons: 3
Source: RefSeq, a predicted model, not a curated record